Non-coding RNA from Chelmon rostratus (copperband butterflyfish), 574 nucleotides. The record is from the annotation of a RefSeq genome assembly. Lineage: Eukaryota; Metazoa; Chordata; Actinopteri; Chaetodontiformes; Chaetodontidae.
AUGUUGAGUUUGUUGUGUUCACAUCGGUUUGUAUCACUGUGGUACACGUUCGGUGGAGGAACCAGACUGGACGUUGGAAGUGACGUCCGUCCCACCCUGACGGUGCUGCCCCCCUCCAGUGAGGAGCUGCGGCAGGGGAAGGCCACGCUCAUGUGUCUGGCCAACAAGGGCUUCCCCUCAGACUGGACUCUGUCCUGGAAGGUGGACGGCAGCAGCAGCAGCAGCAGCAGCAGCUGGGAGGAGAGCAGGAGCCCCGGGGUGCUGCAGAGGGACGGCCACUACAGCUGGAGCAGCACCCUGAGGCUCCCUGCAGACCAGUGGGGGAAGGUGGGCUCUGUGACCUGCGAGGCCACCCAGGGCUCCCAGACUCCUCUCUCAGAGACGCUGAGGAGAGACCAGUGUUCCCAGUCCUGACCUGCCUCACUGAGACUCUGCUACUGGUUUUACUCUGCUACUGCUCUCACUCUGCACUCUGUCUCUGUCUGUUAUCUGACAAAUAGAAAUAUUCACUAGAUUGUUGCACCGUUUCAAUAUUAUUUCAGUGUUUGCAGAAAAUAAAGACGUGUUCUUCAAA